Molecule: ribosomal RNA, 482 nt
Filed under: uncultured bacterium
Lineage: Bacteria
Description: partial 16S ribosomal RNA
Rfam family: Bacterial small subunit ribosomal RNA
Source: RNAcentral
AUUGAACGCUGGCGGCAGGCCUAACACAUGCAAGUCGAGCGGAUGAAGGGAGCUUGCUCCUGGAUUCAGCGGCGGACGGGUGAGUAAUGCCUAGGAAUCUGCCUGGUAGUGGGGGAUAACGUCCGGAAACGGGCGCUAAUACCGCAUACGUCCUGAGGGAGAAAGUGGGGGAUCUUCGGACCUCACGCUAUCAGAUGAGCCUAGGUCGGAUUAGCUAGUUGGUGGGGUAAAGGCCUACCAAGGCGACGAUCCGUAACUGGUCUGAGAGGAUGAUCAGUCACACUGGAACUGAGACACGGUCCAGACUCCUACGGGAGGCAGCAGUGGGGAAUAUGGGACAAUGGGCGAAAGCCUGAUCCAGCCACGCCGCGUGUGAAGAAGGUCUUCGGAUUGUAAAGCACUUUAAGUUGGGAGGAAGGGCAGUAAGUUAAUACCUUGCUGUUUUGACGUUACCAACAGAAUAAGCACCGGCUAACUUCGUG